This 74-nucleotide transfer RNA is filed under the name Hyphochytrium catenoides. Its description in RNAcentral is "trnA(tgc)". It matches the Rfam family "tRNA". From Rfam's summary of the family: Transfer RNA (tRNA) molecules are approximately 80 nucleotides in length. Their secondary structure includes four short double-helical elements and three loops (D, anti-codon, and T loops). The record is from RNAcentral. Lineage: Eukaryota; Hyphochytriomycetes; Hyphochytriales; Hyphochytriaceae.
GGGGGUAUAGCUUAAUUUGGUAGAGCGUAUGUUUUGCAUACAUAAGGCUAGCGGUUCAAGUCCGCUUAUCUCCA